UCAGCCGUGUGCACUUCCGUUCAUAACAUGAUGCAUUUCAGCCCUAUAUGCAGCUAAGCGGGCGAUGACAAACUACAUGUUAUAUUGCUAAGAUAUAAAAUUUUGGAGGUAUUAAAACAAACAAGUUCUUUUAUAGAAAUCUGUUCACAAUUUAUCACUUGGUAGUCCAAGGUAGAUGUUUCCUUUAAAAUGGCUUUGGAUUUUCAUUUUUUUUACCUUGGCAAAAUUUAACACCAAGAACAGUUGUCAGAACAGCAGAAUUAGGAGUUAUUUGGGGAUGAAAAAUGUUUUCACAGAAAUCAAAAUGUUGUUUUUGUGCAAUAUCACUUAGACUACUGUAUAAAUACCAUUUGCUUGUACUCAGUUUUUAAGUCAGAAGGAAAGUGAAACUGAAGUCCUAGAAAAUAGAAAUGUAAUUUUAAACUUUCAAUAAAGCUGGAGGAGCACGGGGA
Long non-coding RNA from Sphaeramia orbicularis (orbiculate cardinalfish), 452 nucleotides. RefSeq lists it as uncharacterized. The record is from RefSeq and is a predicted model, not a curated record. NCBI's taxonomy places the organism in Eukaryota, Metazoa, Chordata, Actinopteri, Kurtiformes, Apogonidae. The transcript is spliced from 3 exons.